Molecule: long non-coding RNA, 3904 nt
Organism: Serinus canaria (Common canary)
Lineage: Eukaryota; Metazoa; Chordata; Aves; Passeriformes; Fringillidae
Exons: 3
Source: RefSeq, a predicted model, not a curated record
UUAGCCUGUAAUAGCCGAUUUUGAGCUGCAUUUUUCUGUAAGAAAAGCAAAUCAACAAGUUUUUCCUGAGGGCUGGAAAAUGCCAAGAGCUGUAACAUACUUCUUUUCAAGUUUGUCUUCAGAGAUGUGAGGACAAUUCAACAGUAAAGCUGGAUUGUGACUAAACAUAUCUGCUGGGGAGAUACUUGAUCAGAAUGACUUGGUACAUGCUCUUUGCACUUUGAGAGACAUAUUCUCCAGUGAAAAUUGACAGAACAAUUUCAGCAGACAUAAAAACCUCCUGAAUUUGCACAAGGCCUGCAGAUGCUCCUGCCACAGAGAGGUGAUUUCCCUGCUUCAGACACCAGAAUAUCCAUGCAAAGCAUCUGCUGAAUUAAAGUCCAGGAGAGAAGAAGCUGGCAAAGAAGGCAGGGACACAGAUGAAGACAGAGAGAGCCAGUGUCUUUUUCCUUUCAACUGUUGGCACCUUCUACCAGCACACCUGCUCCAUGUCCCCAACAUCUGAUGAGCUGAUUUGAUGAACCUGUUCUCAUAGGCUUGUUCUCAUAUUUUGAGGUGACAUGUAUCAGGUCUAGGGCUGCAUUCAUCCUAUACCUGGAGCAACAGAAGUAGACUUGCAGGUGACUGAUUUCCCCUGUCUUUCAAAAUUGGGCGUCUCUAGAGGACAGUUCACAUGUUGGGUGGGACAUAUCAACAUCUUUUUUGAAUCAACUAAGGCUAGUUUUGCAAAAUAUUGUUCCAAAAUCAUCUGUCUAUACUGACAAUUCAGGCAGUUUGGGAAGUCUUGCCAAGGAAAUGGACCACCAAGUCACUACACCUAAAGAAACCAGGCAGUGAAAACAUUUCUGCCCUUUUCCCAGCAAAUGGUAUUUGAAGGCAGUUAGAAAAGCAUCUUUCAAUCCCUUUGCACUGAAGAUGAGGGUGGGUGCUCACUGACAUUGUCAGAUGCCAACCAGUAAUGCAUUUCUGUCAAGAUCAAUAGGAGUUGGCAAGGUAACACUUUUCACAUUCUGUGAAGUAGAAGCUUCUCUUUCUAAGCUGGCCAUUAAAUGCUUGAGGAUCUAAAUCUCCCUGAAAACCCCAUUUCUUGGCAGUUAAGUUGCUUUUCAAAAUGGUGUAUUUGGGACCCUAAGUCAUUUUUCAGAAUGCCUUUUUGAAAAGUGGGGAUUGUAAAUCCUCUUAGAUGCUGCUUGUGACCACAAUAUGUAGGGGAGGGCCAAGAAAAUUUGAUUACCUAUUUGUUGAGCAUGUUCUUAGGCAGAACAAGUGCAGAGAGUAAUUUUAUUUAGCUUGAAGUAUCUGGUAAACAUAAAGAGAAAAAGAGCUCUGCAGUUGGACAGGUCUUAUCUCAGUAUCUUUAUUUACAUAUUCAAAGAACACUGACGCAAUCAAGCUACCAAAAGAACUGCUUUCCAUCAGCCUGGGAACAGAAACAAAUUAGUCUUUAAUAGUGUUGUGUGAAAACUCUGGUGAAUGUUAUGUAAAACUGUGCAAACAGAAUGUUUGUGUUCUAGUUCCAGGUCAUUUAGUGGGCAAAAAGACAGACAUUUUGUGUGAAAUAGCCAUGAAGUGGUUUGCUAUUAUAUAAGGAUAGGAACUGCUAGAUCAAACUAAUGGUGACAAGCCGAGAACCAGAUGCUUCAAAGCAAAAUGCAAGACAUCCCAGUGUGGAUAAUUAUGAAAUAGUCUGACCAUAGGGGAAAUUUCUGCAUAAAUGACUUUAGUCCUAAAAGGCUACAUGUUUGUAUUGCUUCUGAAAAGGUUUAGUCUGAUUUCCCACAGACACAGGGCUUAUGCAACCAGCAAGCUGCCUGGCUGUGCAAAUCUCUGACUCCCUCCCUCUCUGUCUACUCCCCCAUCUCCAGAAACCUCUGAACACGUCCACACUCUGCCACAUGGAGCAGAGAGGAGCAGGUCUCACAAACAGUAAAUUUCCUCACAAACAGUUAAUUUCCUACAGGUUUCAUGAAUAUAACCUGCUCCCUAGUGAGCACAGACAGGUAAUCAUGCCAGCUCAAGGUGAGCUUACACCUCAUUAGAAACCAGAGAAAGCACACAGGAGAGCAUCUUAUAAAUGUUCCAUCUGUGGCAAAAGAUUCAACCAUGGCUCUCCAUCAACAUGAGAUGCAAGUCCUGGGUAGCCACUGGCACUAAUGGUGCUAUCUCUUUCUCCUGCUGAUCCUAACUGUGGACAUCCCAAGGAUUUAAUACAAAUGCUUAACUCUUUGUUACUGAACAUGUUCUCAGCUUUUACAACCUCCAGGAGCAAUGAGUGCCAGUUGAAUAAAUUGCAGACAGGACAUUUCUUUUAGGUACCCGAAAUCUACGGAUUUCCUUGUAGCUCUUCCCAUAAAGCAGCUGGGCUUAAUUAGUGCAUGAUGCUCUUUAUGGGCCAGCAGGCUAAUUUGUAAAUUAUUUAGAAGUAAGUUGAAGGCAAUCUCCUGCCCCUCGGGAACGCUACAAUUAAUUGCUUCAAGGUGUUGAAACCUUGUCUCUGCCACACUGGGCUGGCUGACCCCUCUCUGGAGUCAAAACCAUGCUAGAAAAUUUAUCUUCUCUCUCUAGGCAGACCAGGACAGGGCCACUCCAUGACAUCCAUCUUUUUCACACUGGGAUUCUGUGGAGUCCUCAGGAUGAAGAUACAGGGUCUUCAAAGCUUGGCCCUCUUCUCAAGGACCUGGGCCACAGGGAGCUGCCCCAUGCCAAUCUUGCAGUGCCCCUUGCACUGUCAAAUGCCACAUCUGGUACCUCUUCUUCAUCACCUUAACAGCAGCAUGAACUAAAUGAAACCUCUGAGGAGAAGAUCCGUGGUCCCUGCCAUCAUGCUCACAUUGCCCCUGGUGGUGUUUAAUAUUGAACAAAAGUCACAAUAGGAAGUUCUGAGGUGGGAAAGUGGGUGCUCUGAGCUAGAAGGAGAUAUGUAUAUGUGUUUCCCACAAAAUCCAGCAGCUAGUAUAACAUUGCUAAUGGGGGUGAUGUAUUCAUAGAUAUUUUGACACCUUCUCAAGGCAAUCUGAUUUCAAUUGCAAUUGCACAACUCGCCUUUUACUUUCCACUAAUGUUUGUGCAAGGACUUUAUUGUUCCUAGGAGCAGUAUUACGAAGGAACUUUGACACACCCACCUCUGGGCUGCUUGCUCCUAAAAUUAAGUAAGCAAAAUAAAAUUAAUCUAUAUUUAAUUUGGAAGCCCCAAAUGAUUUAUAAGAUGAACCAACUUGUCAGGGACAGUCAGAACUGGCAAGUAAUAUGUCAUGUCUGAGAUGGUGGAUUACACGAUUCAGCUGCUUGACUGAAACCCUCAAAUAUGCAGGAAAACAUAGCUCUGGAGCCUGUUUAGGCAAGAUGUUAAUUGAAUAAGUCCAGAAAUUCACACCGUAUAUACUUUGUCCUCACAGUGAGCAGAGCCAUGUGUUCAUUCAGUUUUCUUGGAGCUGUGGCUUUGAUUCACCCAGAGGUGCUGAAAUAACCAGCGGCCUGAGAGACGAGCAGCAAAGCCCUGCAGGUCAGAAGGGACACAGACCCUGGGAAGUCCAAAGGACUGAUGGCAGUUCUUACCAGUUUCUUUCUGAAACAAGGCUCUGAAGAAUUUUGCUUGGUCCUUUUGUGAACUAGCUGAGUGUCACGUGUUUUUGACAAGACGACCUCUUUGAUGUAACACUGUGCUUCUCUGGGAAGCCAAUAUCAGGUUGUUAUUUUCCAUACCUUCUCUUGUACAUUUGUGUCCAUGCGUGCAAUAUACUCAGUGUUCCAGUCUUCUCUUGCAUGUCUACCACAGAUCCUUGUUUCUACACUCUCACAUAAUCUAUUUAAAGGGUGAUAUUUUUGGCUUUUAAGAGCGGUGUUAACAAGGAUCAGAUGCUGCCAUCACUUAGGAAAGAGCGAGCUUUCCUUUGCCAGUUGUACU